RNAcentral lists this ribosomal RNA (500 nucleotides) under uncultured bacterium. Its description in RNAcentral is "bacterial SSU rRNA". It matches the Rfam family "Bacterial small subunit ribosomal RNA", at positions 23 to 507 of the family's 1533-position model. The record is from RNAcentral.
CUCAGGAUGAACGCUAGCGGCAGGCUUAACACAUGCAAGUCGAGGGGCAGCAUGAAGGUUAGCAAUAACCUUUGAUGGCGACCGGCGCAAGGGUGCGUAACGCGUGAGCAACUUGCCCCGUUUCUGGGGGAAUAACCCGGUGGAAACGCCGACUAAUACCCCCAUGGCAUCAGAUUGAGGCAUCUUAAUCUGAUUAAAGAAUUUCGGAAACGGAUAGGCUCGCGUGACAUUAGCUAGAUGGCGGGGUAACGGCCCACCAUGGCGACGAUGUCUAGGGGGUUCUGAGAGGAAGGUCCCCCCACACUGGAACUGAGACACGGUCCAGACUCCUACGGGAGGCAGCAGUGAGGAAUAUUGGUCAAUGGGCGGGAGCCUGAACCAGCCAAGUAGCGUGAAGGAUGACUGCCCUACGGGUUGUAAACUUCUUUUGUUUGGGAAUAAAAGACGCUACGUGUAGCGUUGUGCAUGUACCUUACGAAUAAGCAUCGGCUAAUUCCGUG